Vicia villosa (hairy vetch) is the source of this 1573-nucleotide long non-coding RNA. RefSeq lists it as uncharacterized. The record is from RefSeq and is a predicted model, not a curated record. The transcript has 5 exons. NCBI's taxonomy places the organism in Eukaryota, Viridiplantae, Streptophyta, Magnoliopsida, Fabales, Fabaceae.
CAUUACCGAAACUCUCAUAUUUCUCUCACACUUCAAUAGCUCUAUCUCAUAAAAUUUCUCUUCAGAAACCCUAAAUCCCAAAAUUUCUCUUCGCACGAUAACCCUUCAAUCGCUAAACGCUCCUUCCCUGAACUCAAUCGUUCAACCCUUCAUAUGCUGCUGAAACCCUCAUUCGAUGGCUGAACUCAACCGCUCGCUGAACUCAAUCGAUGGCUGAACACUUGAUUCGCUCAAUAGCUCCCUCCCUAAACUGAAUCGCUCCAAAUUUCUUCUCACAAGCCAUCAAUCCUUCAGUGGCUCAACCCCUCUUCUCUAAAUCUCUUGUCACAACUAGAUUUACUGGAGGUAAGGGAGAACCGCGUUUCUCUGCAGUUAUUUUGUGGGUUUAAGCUAUUAUUUUCAGCGUUUGGUCGCAAGUUCCAUGAUUUUGUUCGAUUCAUAUUUAGAAUGCUUACUGUAGGUUUUUUUUAGAAGCUACUUGUUUCUUUCAUAUUUUCCUUAUACAACAAAAUGUUGUUUGUGAUUUUUUCUCACAAGUAUUUUGUAUUCCUGCUUUAUUUUUUAUUUUCAAGUGUCAAUAAUCUUUAGUGGGAACUGACCUAUUAUAUUAGGUUUGUAGAUGCAACAAUGUAUUUGAAUCUACCUUAUUGUGUUUCCUGUAUGAAUAAAGUGAGGAUAACUCAAAUUUCUGUGAGACUUAUAUAUGCUAUUGUUUUUUAUUCUGAUUUCUUGUCUUGUGUUGUGUGUCUCUUAAUGGCUUUUUUUACAAUUUACUAUAAUGACAUUACCCUUUGAGAAUUAUUGGCUAUGAUUGGAUUCCCUUAUCUGCCAAACUAGUUUUAACUAUGAACAAUGUAUACAUACUCUUCUGGAUUUGCAAACUCAAUGAGAUGUAGGAAAGGGAAAAAAGAUGGCAAGUUUUUCUAGCAGUGCCAGUGCUUCGAUGAUGACGAAAUGUACUGCUGACAGUUUGAAUUCUGAUUGUACGUGUGCGGGUUCUUUGACCUUCUCUCUAGACCUUGGUGAAGCCGGUUUCUUGGGAUUAACUGGAUUACAGAAUCUAGGAAAUAUUUGCUUCAUGAACAGUGCCCUUCAAUGUGAAAUGUGUAAGUGGAUCAAGCUACUCAUGGUGGUGGCAGAGCAUAUGGUGCAUUGCUGUUGGAUGCUGGAGGUACCCUCUUGAAGUUGAUCAAUCUUGUUCAAUAUACUUAUGCCGUUAUUGGAUCAAGAUAUGGAGGUCAGGUCAGAGCGGAAUUACAACUUCUAGAAAGGAGACUGAUACAUGUAAAAUAUUUUCAGGAGUUUCAGAUGGUGUUACUACAGAAACUCCAAUCCACGUAUUUGUGCCUAUCUCUUAUUUAUGGGCAAAAUACCUCAAUUGUCCAUAAUGGUUUUUUGGGAUGAAGGGAAAAUGUAUAUUGGCAUUCCAUUACCAGAAUAUGUUUUGUACUCUUAUAAGGGAGGUUGGGAGAAUGAUGAAACUGUUGAAGAGGCUGCUGUAAGAGAAGCUAUAGAAGAAGCAGGAGUUCGAGGUGAUCUAAUGGUGAGAAAUGUGAAUUUAAUAACUUUUGAG